Long non-coding RNA from Lotus japonicus, 1000 nucleotides. RefSeq lists it as uncharacterized. The record is from RefSeq and is a predicted model, not a curated record. The transcript is spliced from 3 exons. NCBI's taxonomy places the organism in Eukaryota, Viridiplantae, Streptophyta, Magnoliopsida, Fabales, Fabaceae.
CAUUGGGGGGAGAAGUGAUCAGGGGCGGACCCACGUUGAACUGAGGGGGUUCAACUGAACCCCCUGAAAAAAAAAUUUCCUACUUACCCCCCUAGAGUGAUUUGUUUUUGAACCCCCUGAAAUUUGAAAAUUGCACCCAGGUCCCAGUCAACACUCAGUCACUCAUUCCUCACUCCUCUCUCUCUCUCUCUUCCUCACGCACUCACUCUCUCACGGUCUCAACUCUCACCUUCACGAUCCAGAGUUCCAGACCACCACCGGCCACCAGCCCACCACCACGGUACCACCACUACACCAGGCCCCAGCCACCACCACGGCACCACUCAUUGAUUCACGGUUCGACUGUUUCAGUGUUCACUCUUUUCUCUCUCUCUCUCAACGCUGCAACCCACCAGGCGGCAGUCACAGCCCACCAACGCCACCAGUCCACCACCACCGCCCACCGGCGGCCGCCCAACGCACCACCACUCUCUCUCUCUGCUGCUGUUGAAGACUUGAAGCUUGAAGUGAAAUUAGACUGGGAAAUAAGCUUGUUGUCUUGGUUUGAGAUUGGAAAUUUGGAAUGUGAAGGGAAAUGAAUUCAUCCAUCAGAUGAUCAGAACCCAACUCCCUCUUUCCCAUCACCAGUCAACUCAACACUAUUUGCUCUGCUGAACGCGGGAUGGACUAAUAGGCUUGUCUAUUUAAUCUUUGAGGGAAGAAAAAGCUCUGAUAACACCAGAUUUUUGUUCCACCAGAUUUUGAACCCCCUGACCCCGGGGUCCUGGAUCCGCCACUGGAAGUGAUUAUGACUAUGAAAGAAACUACUUCUAGUGGUUUUAUGUGGAAAAAGUGAUUCUGAAAUGUUUAAACAUGAAAUGUUACAUGCAGUACGGCUCACAAAUAAAGCAAGCUAACUGAGGUUUUUGCAACUCAUGAGCAUAUGUAAAUCAGCACUAAGUUCGGCAUAUAUGCCUAUAUAUAAAAAUAGGCUUAAAAGCAUUUUUGGUCCCUCACUUAA